GGGAACGCCGGAGUGAGCAGCAGACACCACGAGCAGGGGCGAGCGGGCUCCUGCUGGCUUCGGAGCGCAGGGAGCAGCUGCACAGAUCCCAUCGAGGCGCUGGGAAGGACAGAAAUUUGCCUUGUGCUCUUCCAGGGCGUCCUCACUGCUCCCCAGCAGCACCGGGGACGGGGAGCCUGCCACCUUUCCGCCGUCGGCUGCUUUGGGCCCGCCAGCGCUUCUCGU
Oxyura jamaicensis (ruddy duck) is the source of this 225-nucleotide long non-coding RNA. RefSeq lists it as uncharacterized. Lineage: Eukaryota; Metazoa; Chordata; Aves; Anseriformes; Anatidae. The record is from RefSeq and is a predicted model, not a curated record. The transcript is spliced from 3 exons.